GCAGUCGAACGAUGAAGCCCUUCGGGGUGGAUUAGUGGCGAACGGGUGAGUAACACGUGGGCAAUCUGCCCUUCACUCUGGGACAAGCCCUGGAAACGGGGUCUAAUACCGGAUAAUACUCCUGCCUGCAUGGGUGGGGGUUGAAAGCUCCGGCGGUGAAGGAUGAGCCCGCGGCCUAUCAGCUUGUUGGUGGGGUAAUGGCCCACCAAGGCGACGACGGGUAGCCGGCCUGAGAGGGCGACCGGCCACACUGGGACUGAGACACGGCCCAGACUCCUACGGGAGGCAGCAGUGGGGAAUAUUGCACAAUGGGCGAAAGCCUGAUGCAGCGACGCCGCGUGAGGGAUGACGGCCUUCGGGUUGUAAACCUCUUUCAGCAGGGAAGAAGCGAAAGUGACGGUACCUGCAGAAGAAGCGCCGGCUAACUACGUGCCAGCAGCCGCGGUAAUACGUAGGGCGCAAGCGUUGUCCGGAAUUAUUGGGCGUAAAGAGCUCGUAGGCGGCUUGUCACGUCGGAUGUGAAAGCCCGAGGCUUAACCUCGGGUCUGCAUUCGAUACGGGCUAGCUAGAGUGUGGUAGGGGAGAUCGGAAUUCCUGGUGUAGCGGUGAAAUGCGCAGAUAUC
This 623-nucleotide ribosomal RNA is filed under the name bacterium 01-L049393-122-001-A01. RNAcentral describes it as "bacterial SSU rRNA". It matches the Rfam family "Bacterial small subunit ribosomal RNA", at positions 57 to 698 of the family's 1533-position model. The record is from RNAcentral.